Molecule: long non-coding RNA, 379 nt
Organism: Sinocyclocheilus grahami
Lineage: Eukaryota; Metazoa; Chordata; Actinopteri; Cypriniformes; Cyprinidae
Exons: 3
Source: RefSeq, a predicted model, not a curated record
GAUCCAAGACUAUCUCCAGCUGCUAUAGCAGGAAUAAGUGUUGGUGUUAUUUUGCUAUUCAUUGCUGCUGCUGCUGCUGCUGCUGCUUACUAUCGUAAGUGUCAAGACAGGACAAAAAAGGACAUUGAGAUGCAGCACAAUCAAGGUCGAGAUCAGAAGAAUGGUACUGUAGAAGACUCGUCCCCUGAUCAGACAGUCCCUCUAAUGAACCACGCUGCCAAUGGGACAUCCCCUAAUCCGACAGAUCCUCUAAUGAAAAGCGCUACCAAUGGGACGUCCCCUAAUCCGACAGAUCCUCUAAUGAAAAGCGCUACCAAUGGGACGUCCCCUAAUCCGACAGAUCCUCUAAUGAAAAGCGCUACCACUGGAACAUCCCCUA